RNAcentral lists this long non-coding RNA (1721 nucleotides) under Capsella grandiflora. Its description in RNAcentral is "long non-coding RNA (CGRA_LNC000492)". The record is from RNAcentral. Lineage: Eukaryota; Viridiplantae; Streptophyta; Magnoliopsida; Brassicales; Brassicaceae.
CUUCUCAAUUGCCUUUCUUACUCUCAACAUCUUGGUUCAACACUUGCAUACAUACGGUAAGUUUCCCAAAUACUCUUUGUAUAUUGGCUGUUAGUUUUUGGUCGUUCUCUGAGAUCUAGAGAAUGCUAAAACAACACUACAUUGAUUGUUAGAUUUCUCAUUUCAGCUAUAGUAUGAAAUAAAGUCUGAACGUUUAGAAAGAUCCAUUUUAGAACAUGUUCAAUUGUAUUAAAUCCAGAUACAUUUUUUGUUGGUGGACCUGAAGACUCCAUCUGAGGUCAUUUGUUGGCGUGUUAGAGUUCGUGGUGAUUGUUUCAGUGACCUUCACAGGUUAGAAGUGGUCAUAGUAUAGGCAGGAAUAAGUUAUUGAAACGAGAGAUUAUAAAAGAUUAGUUGAUCAGCUUAGUUAGUUUGGGUGAAAAACUGCUUAGAUUUCUCAAUAUAAGAACUCUUAUUAAUCCAGUGAGGAUCCUAGAUUUAUUUAGGCAAUAUUUACCUGCUAUCUUUAAACGAGAUGAUGACUAGAAUUCUUGAGGCUUUGAUACAUUGGAUCUGUAUCUUUGAUCCCCCAUUACUUCUUCAACCUCCUUAAUAUUCUUGUUCAUAAUCCUUCUAUGUUUAAAAUCCCUGGGCACACAUUAUCAUAUUUGCAUACGCGACCAGUCUCCACAGUCCACCCUUUCUCCUUGAAGCUUCAAGUUGUAACUUCACACACCCUAGCAGAAUCCUCGGCAAGCACAUACCACUCAUGGUUAUUUGCCUUCUCUUUUUAGCCUCUUUGUUCAUCUAUUCUUUUAACUAGUUUCUCUGGUAAUAGAAGAUAUAGAGAAUGGUUCACUAAUAUUUUACUGACCAUUUGUUUUUACUUAGUAUUGACUAUAAGAUCUAGCUAUGAUUAUAUGAACCCAUGAAACCUUCUUAAACAAAAUCAUAUUCGCACUGCUAAACAUUCUUCUAGUAUGCAUUUUCAGCUUGUCUACAUAUAGCAGAUCACGACUAACUUUUUUUUAAUUUUUUCAUAGAAGCUGAAGUUCAUAGUAAUAUACUUAUAAAUGCAGGUUUAUAGGCAUAUGAUCUACAUUAAUACGAUGCUGGAAAUUUUCAGGUAGUGUGUUAUCCUCUUCUUACAUUCUUAUUUAUAUAACCAUUCUUACAAAUAAUAUUAUUUGGUUAUGUCUUAUACAUAUAGAGUGUACUCACCCAUAUCACUCUCAUCUCGCUUAGUGUAGUCGUGAAGUUGAAUUUUGUAACUGUGAUGCAGUGAAGAUCUCAGAUUCAUUUAGGCAUAUUUAUCUGCAAUCUCCAAAAGACGAGUACAGAGUUCUUGAGGCUUGGAGAACAUUGCCAUAUGAUCUGCAUCUUUGAUCUUCAUUACUUCUUUUACUGGAAAGUUCUUGAUCAUCCAGCGCUGGUAAUCCUCGGUUAUCGCGCGGUCCUCUCCACAGAUGAUAUAUAUACGUGUAACGGAUCCAUACCCUUCCUCACUGAAGCUUCUUGUCCCUGCCAGAUUGUUUGUAACGAUCGGGUUUACCCUCACCAACAUUUUUGCCAAUUCAAGAUCCUAAUCCGCCACAACAAUCAUCAAUUAAAAAGUUGACUGAGGUUACAAGCAAAUCUCAUUUGGGUUUUAAGUAGGAGUCUUACUUGGACCGGAGAGAGUUGAUACAAAUCCCUGGCCAUGGAUUUUGGUCCGAAAAGAACAAACUCUAGAGGGCGAUCAG